GUCCCCAUCGUCUAGAGGCCUAGGACACUACCCUUUCACGGUAGGUACCGGGGUUCGAAUCCCCGUAGGGACGCCA
RNAcentral lists this transfer RNA (76 nucleotides) under Candidatus Accumulibacter phosphatis. Its description in RNAcentral is "tRNA-Glu". It matches the Rfam family "tRNA". Rfam says of the family: Transfer RNA (tRNA) molecules are approximately 80 nucleotides in length. Their secondary structure includes four short double-helical elements and three loops (D, anti-codon, and T loops). Lineage: Bacteria; Pseudomonadati; Pseudomonadota; Betaproteobacteria. The record is from RNAcentral.